UAAGCCUGUGAAGGUGGCCUGUGAGGGUUGCUGGAGGUAUCAGAAGUGCGAAUGCUGACAUAAGUAACGAUAAAGCGGGUGAAAAGCCCGCUCGCCGGAAGACCAAGGGUUCCUGUCCAACGUUAAUCGGGGCAGGGUGAGUCGACCCCUAAGGCGAGGCCGAAAGGCGUAGUCGAUGGGAAACGGGUUAAUAUUCCCGUACUUGGUGUUACUGCGAAGGGGGGACGGAGAAGGCUAUGUUGGCCGGGCGACGGUUGUCCCGGUUUAAGCGUGUAGGCUGGUUUUCCAGGCAAAUCCGGAAAAUCAAGGCUGAGGCGUGACGACGAGGCACUACGGUGCUGAAGCAACAAAUGCCCUGCUUCCAGGAAAAGCCUCUAAGCAUCAGGUAACAUCAAAUCGUACCCCAAACCGACACAGGUGGUCAGGUAGAGAAUACCAAGGCGCUUGAGAGAACUCGGGUGAAGGAACUAGGCAAAAUGGUGCCGUAACUUCGGGAGAAGGCACGCUGACAUGUAGGUGAAGUGAUUUACUCAUGGAGCUGAAGUCAGUCGAAGAUACCAGCUGGCUGCAACUGUUUAUUAAAAACACAGCACUGUGCAAACACGAAAGUGGACGUAUACGGUGUGACGCCUGCCCGGUGCCGGAAGGUUAAUUGAUGGGGUCAGCGCAAGCGAAGCUCCUGAUCGAAGCCCCGGUAAACGGCGGCCGUAACUAUAACGGUCCUAAGGUAGCGAAAUUCCUUGUCGGGUAAGUUCCGACCUGCACGAAUGGCGUAAUGAUGGCCAGGCUGUCUCCACCCGAGACUCAGUGAAAUUGAACUCGCUGUGAAGAUGCAGUGUACCCGCGGCAAGACGGAAAGACCCCGUGAACCUUUACUAUAGCUUGACACUGAACAUUGAGCCUUGAUGUGUAGGAUAGGUGGGAGGCUUUGAAGCGUGGACGCCAGUCUGCGUGGAGCCGACCUUGAAAUACCACCCUUUAAUGUUUGAUGUUCUAACGUGGACCCGUAAUCCGGGUUGCGGACAGUGUCUGGUGGGUAGUUUGACUGGGGCGGUCUCCUCCUAAAGAGUAACGGAGGAGCACGAAGGUUGGCUAAUCCUGGUCGGACAUCAGGAGGUUAGUGCAAUGGCAUAAGCCAGCUUGACUGCGAGCGUGACGGCGCGAGCAGGUGCGAAAGCAGGUCAUAGUGAUCCGGUGGUUCUGAAUGGAAGGGCCAUCGCUCAACGGAUAAAAGGUACUCCGGGGAUAACAGGCUGAUACCGCCCAAGAGUUCAUAUCGACGGCGGUGUUUGGCACCUCGAUGUCGGCUCAUCACAUCCUGGGGCUGAAGUAGGUCCCAAGGGUAUGGCUGUUCGCCAUUUAAAGUGGUACGCGAGCUGGGUUUAGAACGUCGUGAGACAGUUCGGUCCCUAUCUGCCGUGGGCGCUGGAGAACUGAGGGGGGCUGCUCCUAGUACGAGAGGACCGGAGUGGACGCAUCACUGGUGUUCGGGUUGUCAUGCCAAUGGCACUGCCCGGUAGCUAAAUGCGGAAGAGAUAAGUGCUGAAAGCAUCUAAGCACGAAACUUGCCCCGAGAUGAGUUCUCCCUGAGACUUAGAGUCUCCUGAAGGAACGUUGAAGACGACGACGUUGAUAGGCCGGGUGUGUAAGCGCAGCGAUGCGUUGAGCUAACCGGUACUAAUGAACCGUGAGGCUUAACCUUACAACGCCGAAG
This 1714-nucleotide ribosomal RNA is filed under the name Salmonella enterica subsp. enterica. RNAcentral describes it as "partial 23S ribosomal RNA". It matches the Rfam family "Bacterial large subunit ribosomal RNA", at positions 1243 to 2925 of the family's 2925-position model. The record is from RNAcentral. Lineage: Bacteria; Pseudomonadati; Pseudomonadota; Gammaproteobacteria; Enterobacterales; Enterobacteriaceae.